CUGGAGAUCAGAAUUCUAUAUCUACAUGUCUUUCCUAUAAAAGCCGAAUAUAUAUCAAGCUGACAAUAUUUUUAUUUAAUUAAGGAACGUCCUUUUUAGUUAUAAAUAAAAGUCAAAUAUUAGCUGUCCUACCUAUUUAUGGUUUCUUGAGCCCACUGUAGGUCUGCAUGGUCGAAAUUAGUUGAGAUUGAUAAAGAAGAG
RNAcentral lists this long non-coding RNA (201 nucleotides) under Elaeis guineensis (African oil palm). Its description in RNAcentral is "long non-coding RNA (EGUI_LNC005969)". Lineage: Eukaryota; Viridiplantae; Streptophyta; Magnoliopsida; Arecales; Arecaceae. The record is from RNAcentral.